AGUGAACGCUGGCGGCAGGCCUAAUACAUGCAAGUCGAACGGCAGCACAGCAGAGCUUGCUCUGUGGGUGGCGAGUGGCGGACGGGUGAGGAAUACGUGGGAAUCUGCCCAGUCGUGGGGGAUAACGUAGGGAAACUUACGCUAAUACCGCAUGCGCCCUUCGGGGGAAAGCCGGGGGACCUUCGGGCCUGGCGCGAUUGGAUGAGCCCACGUCGGAUUAGCUAGUUGGCGGGGUAAAGGCCCACCAAGGCGACGAUCCGUAGCUGGUCUGAGAGGAUGAUCAGCCACACUGGAACUGAGACACGGUCCAGACUCCUACGGGAGGCAGCAGUAGGGAAUAUUGGACAAUGGGCGCAAGCCUGAUCCGGCCAUGCCGCGUGAGUGAAGAAGGCCCUCGGGUUGUGAAGCUCUUUUGUCCCGGUAAAGAAAAGGCGCCCGGGGUUAAAUACCCCUGGUGUCCUGACGGUACCGGAAGAAUAAGCACCGGCUAACUUCGUGCCAGC
RNAcentral lists this ribosomal RNA (503 nucleotides) under uncultured bacterium. RNAcentral describes it as "bacterial SSU rRNA". It matches the Rfam family "Bacterial small subunit ribosomal RNA", at positions 28 to 512 of the family's 1533-position model. The record is from RNAcentral.